GGAGCCCACAUCAGAAGAUUUCUGUACAGUUUCUUUGAGUGUGGCUUCUUUCACUUGGCGUAAUACAUCUGAGAUCAUCUGUGAUGCCUGAAUAGCUGUUCAUUCCUUUUUCCUGCUGAGUAGUAUUCCAUGAUGAGGCACCUGCUGCUCAAAGAAGUGAAGAAACUUGCUCGAGAUCACGAAGUCAUCAAGUGGAGGAGUUGUAUUUGCACUUAGAUGGUCUCACCCUCCAGUCUUAAACAUUAUUCUGUGUUACCUCCCAAGAAGAGGGGUAUUCCCCACGUGGCUCUGCUGUUAAAGAUAGGAUGAGGUCUCUGGGAAGGAGAUGACCUCCUGAGGGCCACGCAUGUGAAGAAAGAGGAAGUGGCGGAGGAGCAAGAAGGAGAAGAUAUGGCUAUCAGUUCAGGAAGUGCUCUCCGGUCUAUUCCCACGAGGUAGAUGCUGUGAUGGUCUUCCCAUCAGCCGUGCUGGGAAAGAACUGAAUUCUGUUCCAUGGAUCACCUGGCCUGGUCUCCACAAAAGCUCUGGAGUGAGCAGGAGUGGGCUGCUGACUCCACAACCACAUGAGAUGAGGAUUCUGAGGGACAGGGAAGUCACCAGACUUGCCCAAGGCCUUUCAGCAAGCAAACUGCAGACAGUGCUCAAAGGCAGACACCAUUGCCUGUAGAAGACUGUGUCUGAGGGCGGCCUUCGUUUUCUUCCUCCAAAGUGAGAUGAACAAGUGAUGGUUAGUGCCUGUAUGUUCCUGACAUCAGUUUCUUUUUGACAUAAUUAGAAGGAUUAAACAACGAAGAACAAAGCAAUGAAGAGGAAAUGCACUUAUCACCAUGUAAUUCAGUGCUAUUUAAUGCUCUAAAGGUAUCAAUAAAUCAUUUCAUAUGUCCCAGGAGUUCCAUUCCCUGUGAACACCAUGCUAUUAGAUGCUGUUGCCCAAUAGCAUCUAUUGUUAUCCAGUAGUGUCUAAUGGCAUCAAGACAGGUAUGUCUAGAUUCCCCAAGUCUGUCUAGCACACAAAGACCAUGGACUCUGGAGCCAAAUGCCUGGUCUUGUAUUGCAGUUUGGGUACUUACUAACCAUUCACCUCAGAGAUGUUACUUUAUCUCUUUUGCCUCAGUUUUCUCAUCUGUAAAAAGAGGACACUCAUAGUAAUUAUCUCAAAUAACUGUUGUGAGGAUUAGAUGCACAGUGAAGCCCUUAAAAUAACGCCUGGCAUGUAGUAAGUGCCAUAUAAAUAAAUACUAGUUCUACCAUUAGUGCAAGUUUGUGUGCCCAGCACCCAGUGAGGCCAAAAAGAAACUUUGGAGUUUGGAGCAGAGAAAGGCUUAUUGCGGGCCAUGCAAAGGGGUGGGUGACUUGUGUCCACCAAAUAUCCCUAACUCCUGGAGCCAAAUUUGUAAAGCAUUUUUUUUUUUAAAGCCAGAUAAGGGAGGCAGGAUUGCAGGGUAAGUGAUCAACAAGCACAAUUGUCUGAUUGGCUGAUGCAGAAAUAACAAUCCUUAGGCUCCUAGUCAGGGAAGAGGAGAGUUGUGUGCUCAUGGUCAAGUAGUUAACAUCUUCCAUUUGGUUGGGGAGGAUUCUCACACUUGUAAAUCAACUCAGGAAGUGGGCAUCAGUGUUACUUAGGUACUUCAGAGAGGAGCUAAAGCAGGGGACAGGAAAGGGCCUGCCUAGGGAAGACAUUAAGUCAGUCCUUGCCUAUGACUCAUGCAGUAAGUCUUCAGCUGUUCAAGGAGUACUACCCAGGUCCCUUUCUUUCCUGAAUCCCUAGGCUAAUGGAUCUCAAUGCUAGAAUCUUCUCAAAGGAGAAUGAAGGAGCUGGGAGGGAAGAGCUCUAAAGGAUGGGGACAUUUCUCUGGGGGGAGCCUGCGUUUGCGUGGCUCCUGCUUUGUGCCAGGCACUUUGACACGCCACCUAGAUGAUCUCUCCCAUAAACCUGGAGUUGGUGCUAUUCUUCAAAUAUUUCCUGUUCCCUGCCUUCCUCAAACAGGCUAAGAAAUUAGGUGUAGCCAUGUGAACGUGAUUUUCUGUGAGCUGUGAAAUGUAAGUAAUGAAAGGCAGAGCAGGCAGAAACUUUCAGAGCUAGUGGGUGAGUCACCACAUCCCCUUUUUUCCUACUUCAAUAAUCAGGGGAAUAUGGGGUUCUGGGGUAAGUGUGACAUGAGUGAGAGUUCCCAGCCAACACAUGAUGGAAAGUGUGGCAGAGGAAAAAAAAAAAAAAAGCUUUGUUGCUUAAAGCCAUUAAAAUUUUAAUACUCCAGCAAAACCUGCCCUAUACUGGCUGAGACAGACCCCCAGUGCUGACACAACUAGCAAGAAUUUUUGCAUCUAGUGGGAAUUUGCUGCCCUUGAGUUCAAACUAGAGCCUGAGUCCAGGCUUCAAUUGGGGGCAGGGCGGGGCAUGUAGCACCGGUAACCACCCCUACUGUACUCUGUCUCACUUCUCCCCUGAUCAGGAUCUAAUAAAGAGAUCAAGGAACUUGGGCUCACAGUCCUUCCUUGGGUGCCAUCUUCCUGCAGAAGCUUGAGAGACACUUUCCCCUCUGGGUCUGUUUCUUUCUGAACCUCUGAUUCUUGAUAAAGCUCAGGGAAAAAUAGAGUCCCACAGCCAUUGUCUUAGGCUCCUAUUUGCUCUCUGAAUCUCCCUUACUUCCCCUCUUGUACUCAAAACAUUCCAGAGACAGGAAAUUUACCAGCCUCAUCAUUAAUGAACAUGAAUCUAGGCAACGUUACAUGAGACUUCCCAUGCUAUUGGACUGAGCACUUGACUUACCUGAAAGGUGAAUGACUUUGAAGAUCCUCCUUUUGUAGGUUGACAGUAUAAUUUAUCACCCUAACCAGGACAUGUUCAAGAAUAAAAGGAGAUAAUAGUAAAAAUUAUACUGGAACAAGAGUUUUAAAAUAGAACUCUUCUGGGAAAACCAGGAUGGAUGGUUACUUGGCUUCUAUGAUUCUAUGGCCACCACAAAUGGCCCAAAUUAAAUUCCAUGGGUAGGACUGAGUCCUAUCUCUGGUAACUCAGCCUGACUUUUGGUCUACCCUUCCCCCAAACUCUUGACAACCAAUCUUCUUUGGAUCAUGCCCUGUUCUCUAACCAACUCUCCUGUGAGACUUUAGGCCAGAGCCAUUUUAGAGGGAAAGCAUGUACAUAUAGCUUGUGUGUAUCACUUCAAGCAGUUUACCCCAUAGAUGCUUCAUAUUCCUAACUACUAUCUUGAGCAGAUACAUAUUUAAUGCCUUCUGAUGGAGACACAGAUGUAAAUUGUUCAACCCUUCCUGGAGCUUUACAGUGUCGCAAGGUCCCAGCACAGUUGCUGUUAGAAUUACUGGAAUGCCUGAAGCUACACUCAGUGUCCCCAUAAGACCCAGACUCUCAGGAAACUUACUCACGAGGUAAUAGAAGGAGAGGCAGGGCUUAUUAAGUUUCCCUCUGCAGGCUGGUUGAUUGCAAUUCUGCCUUGGGCAUGGGCUUAUUUGCAUAGUUGAUUUAUAGCUUUAAUUUGAAUAUUACAGUUACUUCCCAUAAACCAUUGCUUUGGUCUCUCUUUGGGUUUUUCUUUUAAACACCCACCCAAUACCACACAGAACCCAAUGAGCCGGAAGCCUCUACUGUGAGAGGAUUUACAUUCCUCCGUCCACUGGGACAGAGGAAUAUAGAAGGUGGAGAGUGGAAAAUGAACAAACUGUUAAAUUUCAGAAAUGCUUGAUUCCUACUCCAGGACAAUCUGCCAGUUAUACACAAAGUUAAGCACACUCAGCUUCAAGAAUCUUUGAUAGUUAUGGUUUGUUUUUAUUGUUGCUUCUCUAAGGGACAUUUUCUCUUAAAGGUGCCUCUUCUUUCUUUUCUUUGUUUCCAAAAAAUAGCUAAAAUUUCCUGAAUGCAUUCUGUAUGCUAAGCACCAAAUUGCUUAAUCAGAUUACAGUAGUGCAAAAGGCAAGCUGGUCCUGGCCCUCAGAGAGAUUAUACUCCUGUCAGACAAGACAGAUGUCAAAGAAACACAUUUCAUUAAUUAAUUAUGUAUCCCAAAGACGACUACUUUUCCCACUCUUUAAGAGGUCUGAGCCUCAGUAGAUGUGUGUGUGUGUAUAUAUACACAUAUAUAUGUAUGUAUGUAUAUACACAUAUAUGUAUGUAUGUAUACAUAUGUAUGUGUGUGUGUACAUAUAUAUAUAUAUAUACACACGUGUGUGUGUGUGUGGUGUGUGUAUUUGUGUGUUUCAGAUGAUAAUCAAAGGGAGGUUUUGAUCUUACAUCUCUUCUAUGUUGGGCACUUGGAAGCUGUUCUUUAACCUAAGAUACUCUGCUUGGUUUCUCCUGUGGCCCCUGCUCAAUUUACAGUUCUCCUCUGGAGCUUUGGGGUCUUAUCCAUAGGAAUCUCUGCCCUCGUAAUGUGUAUCAGAGACCAAAGUAUCCUUUGCCUUUAUUGUAGAGUCUUUUCAAUCUUCCAGUUAAUGUUGGUAUGGAGUUUUUACUGAAGAUUUUACUGAAAACCUAUUUUUUAGAUGAUAAAAAAUAUGGUAGGAUGGCUACCAUGAUAAAAUUUUAAUAUGUUUUAGGUAAUAAAUAUGGUAGGAUGGCUUGUGACAGAUCAAUACAUUCACCAAGAAUGGUGGGAAAAGUUGGACACACAUUUUAAAUAUAAUCUAUUUGAAAGCACCAAGGAGAGUCUAAGCUUACAAGAACUUGAGAGGUUAAGAUGCAGGAAUGUGAGUCUGACAUAGUUAUUCCCUUGAGGCAUUUACCAUUUUUUUAAAGCUAUAGAGAGAGAGCUUAAAGACAGCAGAAUGAGCUGAAAAAAGAAGUGGCACUUUCAGCAAUUUAACAUUACAGAAGAUAUAAAAAAUUGAAAUUCAAGAACUCUAAGGUUGAGGAAUCAUGGAAAAUACCCAAAGCCUUAGGUAGGACUCUUUAAGAACCACAAAGUAAAAGUAGCAUUGAAUCAAAGCUAGACCAGGCCUUCCAAAGUCUAAAACUGAGCCUCAGGGAAACAAAUUCCCUCAUUGGUUCUGCCCCCACAUGCCAGGAGGUUCAAGCUACCUGCCAGGAAGUUAGGCUGAAUAUAUUCUCAGUUGGUAAACUGGAAGGAAUAUGAAUAGAAAGCAUCCAUUCAGAGCAUAAAUAAAGCAUAACAAUGGAAUAAGAGACAUAGAGGGCAUGGCAUAUGGUCUAACACUCAUGUAAUUAAAUGCACAGAAGGGCAGGGAGGACAAAAUAGUGGCAGAAACAAUGUUUAAAGAGAGAGUGACAGAGAAUUUAUCAAAGUUUAUGAAAGACAUUGAGCCAUAGUUUCAAGAAUCUCUACUAACCUCAAGCAUGAUAAAAUUAAAUGAAAGCACGUGUUUUAGAUACAAAAAAAAAAGGUAAAUAAAACUGCUGAAAACCAAAGGAAACAGAAAAUAUUAAAUGUGAUCAGACAAAAAAAAAUUACCUUUUAGGAUCAAUAAUGUGUGACAGCUAAUGUCUCUACUGAAACAAGGGAAGAUCCCCAGUGUUAUUUCUUCUAGAACAUGUUCCUCCACUCUCUCAUUUUUUUUUAUGUAUGUGGGAGGUUGGUUAUGUUUCUUGACCUUGGAGAAGUGACCCUCUGUAGGGAUGUCCUGUGUGUCCCAGCAGUACACUCCCCUCUCAUCCAUCACCCAGUGGCCAGCAAGAUAGGGUCUGAUCUGUAUUUGUAGACUGGGUUCUGCAGGCUGCUUGAUUGUAGUUUUCUUGCUUCUGGUGUCUGCCCCCUGCUGGGUGAGGCUGGCCUAGAAGCUUGUGCAGGCUUCCUGGUGAGAGGGGCUGGUGCCUGCCCACUAGUGGGUGGGCUGGGUCUGGGCCUUUUGGCAGUCAGGCUUAAAGACCUGUCUGGAUGCACCUGUGGAAAGGAAGUCUUUAAGCAGCACGCCUGUGGGGGUUGGGGAGGGGAACUGUGUUUCCACCCAAUCAGUGGUUUAGCCUGAGGUUUCCCAGUAGCAGAGCCUGUGGGGGCAGGUCCUGGCACCAAAAUGGCGGCCUCUGAGACCGUUCAGACUGAUGAUUAUUUCCCAGUACCUCUGCCACCAGUGUCCUUGUCCCCACAGUGAGCCACUGCUGGCCCCAGCCUCCUCAGGAGAAACUCCAAGACCAGCAGGUAGGUCUGGCUCAGGUUCCUGUGAAGUUACUGCUUUUGUCCUGGGUCCCCUGGUGCAUGCAAGACCUUGUAUGCACCUUUCGAGAAUGGAGUCUGUUUUUCCCAAUCUUGUGGCUCUCCUCCACUCAAGCCCAGUUCGCCUUCAAAACUGAAGGCUCUGGGCUCCUCCUCCUGAUGCCAGACCUCAGGCUAGGGAGCCUGACGUGGGGUUCAGAAUGCUCUCUCUUGUGGAUAUGAUUGUUCUCCAGCUUGUUGGAUUGCCCACCUGGGGAUUAUGGGGCUUGAUCGUAUUGGGAGUGUGCCUCUCUUACUGUCUCGUUGGGUUUCUUCUUUAUGUCCUUGGAGGUAAAAUAUCUUUUUUGGUGGGUUCCAGUUGUUUUAAUCAAUGUUUUUCUUAGCAGUUAAUUGUGAUUUUGGUGUGCUCAUGAGAGGAGUUGAGCUCGUUGCUGAAACUUGGCCUCUGUGCACUGGUGCUGAAUAGAAACGCGGAGACAAGAGUUUGGGGUGAAGGAGAAAAAGAUAGCUUUUAUUGCUCUGCCAGGCAGAGGGGCCACAGCAGGCUAAUCUUUAAAGACUGUGUCCACCAUUGGGAAGAACUGUGGGGCGUUUUAUAGUAAAAAGGAGAAAAACAGGCUUUCAGAUAGGAACCAGGAUUGGGGCAAACACGCAUUCUUUCUUUGGGUGAAUAGUAGUCAUCAAAACUGGCAUCAGAUCUUGGCAUGAUCCUUGUGGUGGUCUUCUGGGUUAUUGCCUAGAACAACAGUACUUGAGAAAAUGGCAUAUUGAUCAGAGAUUAGAACAAACUAGGAAAAUCCCUGAAAAACAUCCUGUGCUAAUAAUCUUUUAACCACCCACAAUUGUGCUCAGCACGCCUCAUCUUCAGCUUACCGGUGUUUGUGUUUAGGAAGCAAUUAAGCCAGGAGAACCACGAGGAAGGUCUCCAAGCAGUUCAAAUUUAAAAUAUUCAUUCCUAAAGAAGCAUAAGGAAUAUAACUUUUCUCUUAGGUAUAAAACCCCUACAACAUCAUGUGUGUCCCUCGAGAGGGAUCCAGAAUCCUGCCCCAAGGCCGUACUAUUGUUGCUUGACUGUUCCUCCCUUGUCUUUGCAUCCCCUUCCUCCUCUGAUCAGCAAUAUCUGAACCUGCCUCUUGGAACUCAGGCAGGCCAUGGAAGCUGAAUGAGCCCCAUUUCCUAAGAAAUGGGGACACAGGUUUUUGUGCCCAGGGGCCCCAGAGGGCCCUGCUUGGUUACAAGCUCAAGCCUACAAACCACCAUCUUGUUCUGGUGGAAGAAUCCCAGGUUCGGGCAGGGGACAGGCAGAGUGCUGGCAAUAUCUGGAUAUUGAUCGGCACUUUACAGACUCUUCUCAAUGGUUUUCUUUUCUAAGCUUCAAAGCUUCCAAGCGCUUGGCAGCUGGGAAGUGAAAGGCAGAGGGAAGGAGUGUGGGGCAGGAGAAGCCCCUAGACAUGUGUAGUGGGGGUGACUGGCCUGAGGGAGCCGGUCGUGCUUGGCAGGCUAAAUUUAAGGUCUAGGUUCUUUUCUACUCGUCCAAAAGAAUGUGGACAGGAAAUGCAAAGGAGUAGCACGCAGAGACUGAAGUGUAGUGAUAAGCAAAGAAGCAAUUUAUUAAAGGGCCAAGUGAAAGCAUGCACUGAGAGAAGAAUGCUGGCCUCCCCCCCAGUGAGGAGCACCUUUGGGGGGUUCUGACCCCCUCUUUUACUUCAUGUUAGUUCCUUGACUGGGUGGAGAUUUCUUAGAUUAGCGGUGUGAUAGUCGUUGAUGGGAAGGUGGAGGCUUUGCAGUGAUUGCACUUGUUUACAUCAGCUUCCAUUCUCACAUGCUCAUCCCCUGAAGCCACAGCACCUGUGCUCUAAAAGCCAUUUUUUUCCCUUAAAUUUUCCUUUGUGAGUCAAGGAUCACCUGUGGAAGGUCGUAGAACGGUCAUUUGUAGCCUGAGUUUCCGUUGCGCAUGUUCAGCCAUGCUCUCUGGUGUUUACCGUCAGAGUUCCCUAUUCAGGCAUCACAAAGUUUAAUCAAGGCUUAAGUGUUUUGCCUUUUGCCUGAUGUGUAUGGAUGAGAAGCUUCUCCUUGGUCCUGUCUUUCCUUGCCUUACUGGGACCAGAAUAAUAUUUUCAAAGUGCUAAGGGAAAAUUAACUGCCAAGCUAAAAUCCUACAUUCAGCAAAAAUUAUCCUCACAAAAUGAAUGGUAAAUUAAGACAUUUACCUUAAAAAAAUUAAAAAAAGGCAGCAAAUAAAUUGUUUCCAACAUACUUAAAAAAUACUGGAUGAAAUGUGUAGUAAAUCUAAAUAAAUACCAACUCUACAGUAAAAUAUUAUAUAUAUAAAAUCACCUAGAAAGUGAUAAAAAUAACGACUUGAAAUGUAAGAAGCCAAGGAUAAUUAGAAUCAUUAGACUAGAGUAACUGCUCAAAGGUGACCAAAGAAUGCACAACCAGGAAGCUAAUAGAAGGAAAUAGAAUUAUGAACAAAUACUUGGUUAAUCCUAAAGAAUGCAAAAAAGGAAAGAAAAAGAGACAUGAAGCAGGUAGAGAAGACGGUAAAUAUAAAUCCAAAUAUAUCAGUAAUUGCUUAUGCCAUGUUAUAAUAAAUCAUUAUAUCAUAUAGUAUAUAUAUUAAGAUAAAUGACAUAAACAGACUCAUUAGAAAAAAAAGAAUGUCAGACUGAUAAAAGCAAAACCAAACUAAACUGUUUGCUGCUUACUAGAGGCAUACCUGAAAUAUAAGUACGUAGAUAAUUAAAGGAAAGAAAUUACAUAUAUAUAAGCAUAUAUACAUAACAUAUACAUACAUAUAUUAUGUAUGUUGUGUGUAUAUAUGUAUAUAAAAUUGGUAUAACUCUAUGUAUAGCAGGCAAAAUGAGUUAUUGGGUAAGAAGUUAUUCAAAAUAUAGUUGACCCUUGAACAACAUGGGUUUGUACUAUGUAUGUGUGUGUGUGUGUUUUUCACUAAAUCCACACUACGGUACUACACAAUCUGUGGCUUGUUGAAUUUGCAGAGACAAAACCACGGAUACAAAAGGCCAGGUUUUCAAUGCAUGGAGAGUUAUCACCCCUAACCCCUGCAUUCCCUAAGGAUCAGCUGUAUACAAAUAGCUCUUAAAACUAAAUAAUAAGAAAAACAAUCCGUUUUAAAAAAUGGGUGGAAUAUCUGAACAGACACUCUACCAAGAAGAUAUACAGAUGGCAAAUAGCAUAUGAAAAGAUGCUCAACAUCAUAUGUUAUUAGGGAAUCACAAAUUAAAACAAAAUACUAUAACAUACCUGUUAGAAUAGCUAAAAUCCAAAGCACCGACAGCCCCAAAUGCCAGGGAGGAUGUGGACCAACAGGAAUUCUCAUUCAUUGAUGGUGAGAAUGAAAAGGCUAUUUUAAAAAAAUUAAACAUAGUCUUAUUAUACAUUUCAGAAAUUGUGCUUCUAGAGAUCUACCUAAAUGAGUUGCAAACAUAUCCACACAAAUAUCUGCACAUGAAUAGCAGCUUUAUUCAUAAUUGCCCCAAACUAGAGGUGACUUAAGAUGUUCUUCAGUAGUUGAGUAAAGUGUGGCACAUUUGUACCAUAGAAUAUUAUUUAGUGAUAAAAAGAAAUGAGCUUUCCAGCCAUAAAAAGACCUGGAGGAAACUUAAAUGGACAUUGCUAGUAGAAAGAAAAGCCAAUGUGAAAAGGUGUCAGCAUGGUUGGAUUCUGUUGAUAAUUCUCUUCCUGGCUUGCAGGCUCCCUUAUUGCUGCAUCCUCACAUGGUGGAGAGAUAACUUGGGUAUCUUUUCCUUUUCAUAGAAGGGCACCAGUUCUAUCAGAACAGAUCCUAUAACCUCAUUGAACCUUAACUACCUCUUUAAAGGCCAUAUAUCCCAUGUAGUCACAUGGGAGGACGGUGAUUAUAGCUUCAACACAUGAAUUUGAAUUAACAGUUAGCUCGUAGUAUCUUCAUCUUUUAUGGUUUAGCAAUUCAACUGCUCAAAUGUACCUAAGAGAAAUGUGGCACCAGGGAAUUCCUGUCAUGGCACAGCAGAAGCAAAUCCGACUAGUAUCCAUGAG
Non-coding RNA from Sus scrofa (pig), 10166 nucleotides. The record is from RefSeq and is a predicted model, not a curated record. NCBI's taxonomy places the organism in Eukaryota, Metazoa, Chordata, Mammalia, Artiodactyla, Suidae.